AAACAUUUUUUUUUAAACGCUUUGCAACGGGAAAAUAAAAAUGUGUGUUUAUUGUCCAGGUAGUAUCUCCCUGUUUCAGUUGCCUUUCCCCUUCUCUUCUGUAUUGUGCCUUGAACACAACCCUGCUGAAAGCUGAAAUAAAUCCUCCUGCUGAUUCAUAUAAUCACCAUUAGAGAGCGGUGGUGUCACAGGUGCGUUGUUGGGCACACAGUAGGGUACUUAUUACCUGAUGGCAGAGGGAUCCUGGGAAAGAGAGGUGAAAGGGGUCAUGCUGACCCAUACAAACGGGGCACUGUGUGUGUGUGUGUGUGUGUGUGUGUGUGUGUGUGUGUGUGUGUGUGUGUGUGUGUGUGUGUGUGUGUGUGUGUGUGUGUGUGUGUGUGUGUGUGUACGCACGCAUGACCACUGUCUGGGAGUUGAGAGUUGAACUAUAGCAUUUUGAAUGAAGGGGGAGAGAGUUGAACCAUAGCAUUUUGAAUGGAGGGAGAGAGAGUUGAACUAUAGCACUUUGAAUGGAGUGAGAGAGAGUUGAACCAUAGCAUUUUGAAUGGAGGGAGAGAGAGUUGAACCAUAGCAUUUUGAAUGGAGGGAGAGAGAGUUGAACUAUAGCAUUUUGAAGGAAGGGGGAGAGAGUUGAACAGAGUGAAAGGCAGUAGGAAGUACUACACCGGUAACCUCGCUCCCUCUCUUGAGUAGCAAACAGAGGUCCCUGUAAUUGUGUGAUUCCUGGGGCCUCAAAAAAGGCAUGUUUUGAGUGGAACAACACACACACACACACACACACACACACACACACAGGCCAUGCUUGUUUGGCGAGCCUGCAGGUGAUGAAGGUAUGCACUGUAGAGACCUAAGAGAGAUAUUGACUUGCUUCUUUUUUCACUUUGCGAUUCCAGGAGGGGGUACAAAUAUACUGAAUAGGGAGUUUGUACACACACUGUCAAUGUUGCUAGUUGUUGAUACCUGAACCCCCCGUCAAUGUUGCUAAAUGUUGGAUUAAGGUUGUUGAUACCUGGACCCCUCGUCAAUGUUGCUAAAUGUUGGAUUAAGGUUUUGAUAUUUGAACCCCUCGUCAAUGUUGCUAAGUGUUGGAUUAAGGUUUUUGCAAUAUUGCCAUAUGAUCUACCCAGUAUAAUACUGUGUAAAAUGUAAUAAAUAUAAAAUACAAGUACCUAAAUGAAA
RNAcentral lists this long non-coding RNA (1182 nucleotides) under Salmo salar (Atlantic salmon). Its description in RNAcentral is "lncRNA (ENSSSAG00000112313.1)". Lineage: Eukaryota; Metazoa; Chordata; Actinopteri; Salmoniformes; Salmonidae. The record is from RNAcentral.